RNAcentral lists this ribosomal RNA (357 nucleotides) under Triticum aestivum (bread wheat). RNAcentral describes it as "partial small subunit ribosomal RNA". The record is from RNAcentral. Lineage: Eukaryota; Viridiplantae; Streptophyta; Magnoliopsida; Poales; Poaceae.
AUGGCGACUCCCGGGGAUGGCGAGGACGCGCCGCCGCCGCCGCCGGUGAGCGCGGCGGGGGCUGGAAGCAGCUUGAUCGCGAAGCUGCGGGAGCAAUGGAGGAGCACGAAAGAGCACGCGGAGACGUAUCCGUACGUGUGGGGCUCCUACAUCCUCGUCUACGGCGGGCUCGGCGCGUACAUCACCUGGCGAUGGUGCAAGCUCCGCCGCACCGAGGACCGCGUCCGCGCCCUCCAGGCCCGCCUCCGCCAGCUCGCCGCCGCCGAGGAGUCGCAGGCCGCUUCCACUCCCCCUACCCCAUCUCCUCCCCUGCCGCCGCCGCCGACUGGGCCGGGCAAGCCCGCCUCCGCGCCGUGA